This 3294-nucleotide ribosomal RNA is filed under the name Triticum aestivum (bread wheat). Its description in RNAcentral is "partial small subunit ribosomal RNA". Lineage: Eukaryota; Viridiplantae; Streptophyta; Magnoliopsida; Poales; Poaceae. The record is from RNAcentral.
AUGUCUUCGCCGAGCAGAGUGGGAGGAGGAGUUCAGGUAGGUGAUUGCAGUGCUCAUAAUGAUACACCAAUUGACUCUCGUUGUCCUGGUGGUAAGGAUCAUGGUGUCGAGGGAGGACAUCAAGUGAAUUCACCGAUUGAAUCUUCUGCCAUAAGUGUGGCCCCUCCUUCUGAGGGUAAUGUUGGUGUGAGAUUUGACCAGAGACGUCCCGUCUUGUUUGAAAAACAAUCGCAGUCUGUUGAUGGUACAGAGGAAGUUACACAGGAUUGGAUGGUCUUGGAACAACUUCGUCAAUAUGAGUUGAAGCAAAGCAAGAAGAAGUUGAGGUUUGAAAGUGACUCAAAAGAGUUUGCGGAGAAGGAGAAGCAGAGGAGAGCUGCAGAUGGUGCCAAGGGUGCCAAAUUUGCUAAGGUGAAGCAGCCUUAUUUGCAGAAGAAGAGGCUGAGUACUGUUGCUGAGGAAGGCGGUACACCUCGGCGGAGUCCACGUGUUGCUGGCAUGAAGAAGAAUCUUGGCAAGAGAACUGCUGAAGCUGGUGGAAAGGAUGAUCCUCAGCGCAAGCGACUACAUGUCACUGAAGGUCCCAACUUUGAUGAUGACAACUUUGUGCUUGCUGAUUAUGUGAAGGAUGUUCAUCCUUGUAGACGCAAAGACUGUGGUUCAUCUAAGAGUCUACCCAAGCGUGCAUGCGAUGAUGUCGAUGAAGAUGUUGGUGGUGACUCUGGCGAGGAGGUGGAUGCUGCUCCAAAGAGGAAGAAGUCUAGUAAGAGCAAUGCAACUGAAGAUGAUGCUGAGGGAGAUGAUUCUCGAUUUAACAAGACCGUAUGUUUGUCGCUUCCCACUGUUUGCAAGGCUGCUUCUUUGUUGAAAGAGGCACAUUGUAGUCGUGUUCGGGAUGCUGGAUUCGGUGUUGUCUUUGAACUGUCAGUAAAGAAAAGUGUGUCACGCAUUCUUAUGUGCUAUCUGAUGGGAGUGAUUGACCCUACCACCAUGAUAAUGGACUUUGGGAAUGGCAGGGUUCUUCAAAUCAAUCGUGAUGAAGUUUAUCACAUUUUUUAUUUACCUAUGGGACGUCACACUGCACCCAUGCCUGCUGCCAGCGGACAUGAUGACUCGUUGACUACCCUUAAGGAUGAGCUUGGCUUUAGGCAUUUAAAAAGUAUAGGUGUCAAGGACUUGCUUGAGAAGUUGAAGGUGUUGGUGGAGGAAGAUGAUCAUGUGACUGUUGACCUUGCUGUAAAGGUGUUCUUCCUGAUACUUUACCGGAAUUUGCUGUGCCCCGGGCCUGCAGUUCGUUUGGGUAGAGUUGCUGCAAUGGUAGAGAACAUGGAUUAUGCGGCUAUGGCUCAGAUGGACUUUUGCCAGCUUGUUGUUGAUAAGUUGCAGGCAGCUGUGGUGAGGUGGCAAACAGAAGGCAGCAAGCAGAAUUGUGCAGAGGGUUAUGCCAUUGUCCCCCUGAUUAUGUAUGUUGACUGCUUGAAGCUUCACAAAUUUUUAGUCAUGCACAUGUUGACGCCACGUGCGUCAUACCUGACGACCAAGGACCUGAUGAAGUUGUACAAUGAGGAUGUGCUUGUGAAGGGAAAGAUUUACUUGGAAACUUAUAAAUUUGGGAAGCUACCGUGGAAGGCGUCAGGUGAUAUUGUGUACAACCGUCCUGUUGCAGUUGUACACGGCAGCUCUGAUGCGGGGCCUAGCACUCAUGCUAGGUUGAGGACAGUUGCUGGUUUUUUCCCUAUUGGCCAUGGCCCACGAGAUCAAGAUAUUGUUGCUGCUCACAAUUUUGAUUGUGGCAUGAUUGAAAGCCUGAAGAUUGCAGUGACGAAUGUUCGGUCUUCGUAUGCUCAAUUGAGACAUUCACAGGAGGAAAACUGCAGUCGGUAUGAGAAGGAUGUUGGGCAUAUUUUGGAUGAAAUGAAUCUUCAGGACGCUGGUGUUGGCGCUGAUAAUGCUGGAGUGGAAUCUUCUGGUGUCGAUGGGACUAGGGACGAUGGAGUUGGUCAGACUGGUGUUGCUGCUUGUGAUGUGCACAAAGAGUCCUACGAUGGCUCUGGAAAGGAUGAGGUCUUGGCUGAUGCAUCGUCCCCUCUAGAUGUUGUAGCUGAUAAGCUUGGAGAAGAAAACGUGGAAGUUCACGUUGAUCUGAAUCAGGGCGGUUGUGCUAUUGAUGGUGGUGGCAGUGUUGAUGCUUCUGCAUCGGUUGUCGUCGACUGUGCAGAUCCUUCUGUAGCUCAAGGAUCCCAUGAUGUUGUUUCCCCUAGUCGGCAUGAAGAUUCUGAUGUUGGCAUUGAAAAGCCACUAGAGAAUGUCGCCCCUGCUGUUAGUGUUGUUGCUUCCCCUGUUUGUCUGGCGGCCAAUGAUGUUCCUGAAGUAUCGAGAGUGGAGCCUCAUGUAGCUAAAGUAUCUAAGGACGUUGCGGUUGACCAGACUAUUGUAAAUCCAGAGAAUGCUGAUGUUGCUGCAGAAGGGCAGUCCAGUGAGGUUGUGGUGGAUUCGUCGCAACCUAGCCAAGAAAAUAUUUUGGUCAGCUCUGAAGAACAACAACCUGAAGACUCUGACACUGAAGGCAAGAGUUUUGUUUCAAAUAGUGCAGUUGAAGUUUUUCUCACAAAUAUUUGGAAUGGUGGUACUGUAGACAGGAGUGUUAAAAUGAUGUUCUCUUCAAAAGCCGAGGAGCGUGUUGAUAAAAAGGAUAUGACUUGGGAUGGUGUUCGAGUUGCUCAGUUUGGGGUGGAGCACAUUGGCUACAUCAGAAAGGCCAUGCUCUAUAGCUGGCUCACAUCGAGAAAGUGGAACGCAUUCUUUAUGGUGAAUAGUCCUUUUGGUGAUGUCGAUACUUACACUGUUAACUAUAUCUAUAAUACAUUUGGCAAAGGAGCUUUAAUGGAUUCGUAUCUCAUGGAUUUUGUCAUCAAGUACUGGAAGCAAGACCCUGAAUUGGGUUUAGUUUAUCAUUCUGGUGAACGUGUGCUACUUUCACCUUUAUUUAUCACGUACGUUCUUCAAAUGGAAACCUUUGUGGCGAGAGAUGAUGAUCAAAACCCUGUGUUGCCAGUUGUGCAUAGCCCGUUUGUUUUAGAAGAUGCAGUUAAGCAGUUCAAGGUUUUUGUGAGCGACGAUGCAAACCUGUUGGAUGCAAAACUGUCUGCUGUUGAAGAUUGGAAGGCGGAGUACAUGUUCCAGUUGCUGUUCAAUCCUUUGAACAUGUUGUGUUAUGAAGACAUGCCGCUUGAUCUACGAGAUCUGAUUGCGGACCUCGGGCUCACUUCCCUGUCGCAAUCGCAGACGCAGUAA